This is a non-coding RNA of Paramuricea clavata, 689 nucleotides long. NCBI's taxonomy places the organism in Eukaryota, Metazoa, Cnidaria, Anthozoa, Malacalcyonacea, Plexauridae. The record is from the annotation of a GenBank genome assembly.
GGAACAUUGCCUUCCCUCGAUUCUGAUCUAAACGUGUUUACUCCGAAUAGUCUCCUAUUAGGACGCUCGACAGCCAAGAAUCCUGGAGGAUGGCAACCUUUCACGUACAGCCAGAGUCCGAAGACGAGAUACAGCCUGGUGCAAACAGCCGUAGAAGAUUUCUGGGAAAAGGGGAUACAACUAUACGCCCCCUCUCUAGUUGUCCGUCGCAAAUGGCAUGUCAACACAAGAAAUUUACGUCCCGGUGACGUCGUUAUGAUCGCGGACAAGAAUGUGAUGCGAGGAGAAUACCGUCUCGGAGUUGUUAAAGAAGUCUUUCCUGAUCAGGAUGGAAAAGUCCGUCGAGUUCUGGUAACGUACAAGAACUUUCGUGUUGGAGACCGUCAGCAAGAUUAUGGAAUCAGUGAAGCUGUUACUGUUUCUCGAAGCGUUCAGCGUUUGGCACUACUCGUACCCGUGGAAACAGAAGAUGGAGACAAGGAAGAUGUUUGAAAAACGGAAACAUGGAACAAGGAUUAUUACAGACACGUAUAUUUUACAUUCUGUUGUUUUGUUAAAAGCGGUAUCGUAUCGACCCCAUCCUCCCGGUGUGUUGGUAUGACUUCACACGUUAUUAGAACUUUCGAUACGAUAACAGACUUACAUAAAGUACUGACUGAGAUACGAGGCGAGCCCGCGGUAAAUAGGAC